GGAAAAGCUUGUUGGUAUAUCCACACAAGAGGAAACAGUUCUGAUCAGGCAUCUGAGAGGAGCAUGAACAACCCAGCAACCGAAACGAAUGUCCGUCAAAAGCAGAUUUCAGUUGAAGAAGAGUUGCCAGAAAGGCCUGGUGAACCUGAAUGCCGGAACUAUUUAAAAACUGGGGAUUGCAAAGAAGCAACAGAAAGAUCAACAGAAGUAUGCAAGAAUUAUCAAAGGUAUGGGUUUUGUAAGUUUGGAAAAGCUUGUCGGUAUAUCCACACAAGAGGUAACAGUUCUGAUCAGGGCAUCUGAGAGGAGCAUGAACAACCCAGCAACCGAAACGAAUGUCCGUCAAAAGCAGAUUUUAGUUGAAGAAGAGUUGCCAGAAAGGCCUGGUGAACCUGAAUGCCGGAACUAUUUAAAAACUGGGGAUUGCAAAGAAGCAACAGAAAGAUCAACAGAAGUAUGCAGGUACUAUCAAAGAUAUGGGGUUUGUAAGUAUGGAAAAGAUUGUUGGUAUAUCCACACCAGAGGGAACAGUUUUGAUCA
Molecule: long non-coding RNA, 540 nt
Filed under: Lotus japonicus
Lineage: Eukaryota; Viridiplantae; Streptophyta; Magnoliopsida; Fabales; Fabaceae
Description: long non-coding RNA (LJAP_LNC000791)
Source: RNAcentral